AAUACGUGUAUAAUGCUUUGUAUCGAGUAAGUCAAUGAAAUUAA
This 44-nucleotide non-coding RNA is filed under the name Trypanosoma brucei brucei. The record is from RNAcentral. Lineage: Eukaryota; Euglenozoa; Kinetoplastea; Trypanosomatida; Trypanosomatidae.